RNAcentral lists this ribosomal RNA (1320 nucleotides) under metagenome. Its description in RNAcentral is "bacterial LSU rRNA". It matches the Rfam family "Bacterial large subunit ribosomal RNA", at positions 1561 to 2925 of the family's 2925-position model. The record is from RNAcentral.
AGUGGAUGGGGAACAACCUAGUUGUGCGUGUGUAAAGGUAGUGCCAAGAAAAGCGGUGAUCAUGAUGAAAAUCAAUUCCCGGUACCCGAAACCGACACAGGUGGGCAAGUAGAGAAUACUAAGGGGCGCGAGGUAACUCUCUCCAAGGAACUCGGCAAAAUGACCCCGUAACUUAGGGAGAAGGGGUGCCACCGAGAGGUGGUCGCAGUGAAGAGGCCCAGGCGACUGUUUAGCAAAAACAUAGGUCUCUGCAAACUCGAAAGAGGAGGUAUAGGGGCUGACGCCUGCCCAGUGCCGGAAGGUUAAAGAAGUUGGUCAGUCUUAGGAUGAAGCUAGCGACUGAAGCCCCGGUGAGCGGCGGCCGUAACUAUAACGGUCCUAAGGUAGCGAAAUUCCUUGUCGGGUAAGUUCCGACCCGCACGAAAGGCGUAACGAUCUGGGCGCUGUCUCGGAGAGAGGCUCGGCGAAAUAGGAUUGUCUGUGAAGAUACGGACUACCUGCAUUUGGACAGAAAGACCCUAUGAAGCUUUACUAUAGCUUGGAAUUGUGUUCGGGCUUCCUGUGCGCAGGAUAGGUGUAGGCGUAGAAGGUAUUCUUGUGGGGAUACUGGAGGCAACGGUGAGAUACCACUCUCAGGAGGCUAGAAUUCUAACUUAAUUAAGGACAGUUUCAGGUGGGUAGUUUGACUGGGGCGGUCGCCUCCAAAAAGGUAACGGAGGCGUACAAAGGUUCCCUCAGACUGGUUGGAAAUCAGUCGCAGAGUGCAAAGGCAGAAGGGAGCUUGACUGCGAGAAGUACAGUUCGAGCAGGGUGGAAACACGGUCUUAGUGAUCCGACGGUGCUGUGUGGAAGGGCCGUCGCUCAACGGAUAAAAGUUACUCUAGGAUAACAGGCUGAUCUCCCCCAAGAGCUCACAUCGACGGGGAGGUUUGGCACCUCGAUGUCGGCUCAUCGCAACCUGGGGCGGAAGUACGUCCCAAGGGUUGGGCUGUUCGCCCAUUAAAGCGGUACGUGAGCUGGGUUCAGAACGUCGUGAGACAGUUCGGUCCAUAUCCGAUGUAGGCGUGAGAAUAUUGAGAGGAGCCUUCCUUAGUACGAGAGGACCGGGAAGGACGCACCGCUGGUGUACCUGUUAUGAUGCCAAUUGUAAACGCAGGGUAGCCAAGUGCGGAGAGGAUAACCGCUGAAAGCAUCUAAGUGGGAAGCCCACCUCAAGAUGAGUAUUCUGGUGUAAGGUCACGGGAAGACGACCCGUAAAUAGGCACGAGGUGGAAGUGCAGAGAUGUAUGAAGCCGAAGUGUACUAAUAGACCGUCGGCUU